RNAcentral lists this unclassified non-coding RNA (247 nucleotides) under Hevea brasiliensis (rubber tree). The record is from RNAcentral. Lineage: Eukaryota; Viridiplantae; Streptophyta; Magnoliopsida; Malpighiales; Euphorbiaceae.
GUGUGCUUCUUAGAACGUUUUCCUCUGAUUAGUGAAGAACCAGGUAGGGAACUCUGCCUAACUUUCAAGCAUGAUGCCAAUUCUCGGAGUUUUGAUUUGAUUUCUUUCCUGAUUUCAGCAGUUCCAUCUCUCUUCAAUGGAAUCUGUUCUGUCUGAGGCUCCCAAUAAUAAGAUUUCAACCAAUGAAUUGCCUUAGCUGCUGAAUCCCUAACUAGGGUCAGUGCAGGCAGAUCACGGUGAGAACCCU